GUGCAUCGACUGCUUCCUUUCAGGUGGAAACCUCUACCUCUUUGAGUACGGCGUGUCCCCUGUUUUCUAUCUUGCUAAAGCUCGAGGAGGGACUUGCACCCUUGCGAAAUCUGACCCCCCUGAAGAUGUGCUUCACCGUGCCUCUUACCUCCUCCAGAAUGGCUUUGGUGGCUACAAUCUUUUCAAGAACAACUGUGAGGACUUUGCUGUCUACUGUAAGACGGGUCUGCUUGUGGUGACGGCAAUUAGCGUAGGCCGAAGUGGGCAAGCAGCGGCUUUUCUGGCUGCUACAAGUGCUGUCAUGUCCUCUCCACUUAGAUUCUUGACGACAAGUGUUAGUGGUCUGGCAGCUGUGAGUUAUGGCAUGUAUUGCAUCAGUCGUUUGGUCUCUGACCUUGGGGUUCGCCGUGAUGUGGUUAGAGUACCUGUCGAAAGACUUGUUAAUCAAUCUGAUUUGUGUGAUCCCCAAGCUGCUGUGGAUAGUCCCACUCCCGGUUGUGUUGUCGCUGCCAAAAAUGACUAAAGACUGCAUGCUGCAAUUUGCCGGCAGUCUCCACCAGAACUUUGCCGGCAGUGGAGAUGAAAACACUGUAAAAUGUAUGUUUUAGCUCUUUGUUGGAUGUUACUUCUGCAAACUAUACCCGGUCGAAAAUUUAAAUACUCCUCAAACUUCAGCUUUGUUGGAUUUGGCAUCAGAGGUCCUUGAAAUUUUGGGUGUCGUCUUGUUUCUUGUUGUGCAAACGAACUGAUCAGAUUUGCUUUCGACAGGAUAUUUCCUGUUGAUCGCCACAAUCUCUGUAUAGAACUACAGUUGCAAGAGAGAGUGGUUCUACUGUUCUCUCCAAUUUUGAUAUUUCUGCAUCUGAAUUAUUUAAGCUAUACUCCCGAUGGGUUAGACUAGCUUUGGCGUGGGUUUUGUCCUAAAAUUGCGUAUAUAUGGUAUUCCAAUUAAAUGACAAAUUAUAUUUAACCAUAAAACGAAAGAGUUUCAGACAGGAAUAAUAAUUUGAAAUCAGUGUAGUAACACUUGAGGGCUGGCCAUGGUCACGGACGGCAGAGACAGAGAGCUGGCUACGCUUGAGCGAGAAUGAAGGUCGCACGACCCUCGUGUGGCUUGCGCAAGGGUCGACGUGAGCAUCACUAAGGCACAAUGAGGGUCGUUUGACCCUUGCCAUGGUUGACUGAGGGCCUCCAACCAACCCUCACAAGCUGAGGCAAGGGCUGUGCAGAUCCUCCCUUAUAAUAAACACCAUUUCAUUGAUAAAAGCCCAUCACUUUAUAAGUAGAGUCUCACCUUGUGCAUACUAAUACAUGAAGACAUGGCAGUUUGUUUGCUCGGGAGAAGUGAUAGACCUGAAUUUCAGAUAUACUUUGUUCUUGAAAAGGAGGAGAAUCGUGUCAAUAUUAAGUUAAAAAAGAGACUGAGCAGACAUUUUCAAAAAGAGGAAUGUUGAUAAUUUGUGGAACGUUAAAGAUAACAAAACCUAGUUUUUUAAAACCUCGGGGUAGACCAGACAAUAACUGAAACUGUAACUCGAUCAUUGUCCCUAGAAGAGCAUAAAGCAACUUGAGGAAUACCGAUGGGGUAUAACUACACUUCCAUGUAGACUAGAGCAGUACAAAGAAUCUUUCGGAUAUUGUACAGGACCUUCAUAUAAUUAAGUCAAUCAUGUUUACAAUGAAUUGUGUACAGAUGAGGCCAAAUUAAUGGUGAAAAAAUGCAAUGUCUAAAUUGAUUUUAGUUUAUUGGAAAAUUUCAUCUUUUGCAGAAACGUUCACGAAACGAACUUUGCAUCUUCUGCUGAAAGAUGGAAAGCAUUAGCAGCUCUGGGAUGCAUCAACCUGGCUCCAAAGCUGAUUAGCAAAUUCGUUCUCCUCUUCUGUAGCGAUUUGGUCAUUAACCUCAAUUAAUUCCUCUUCAUCGAGGUUCUCUUCCAUGAUUUCGUCAAUAGAUGAUACUUCUGAAAGUUCUGUCCCCAACCCACUUAUUUCAACCCCCGCCUCCCUCAUAGCUUUUGCUGUUGCCGGCCUGUCACAAGACCUAUAUUUAGGAGCAGGCAUGACAAACGGCAAAACUAUAUUGUCUAAGUCUAUGUGGCUGCCCUUCGUUCUAGCCCGUGUCUCCGUCGGAGGAACAACAAACAGUAUCCCAAGUUCAUAGUUGCAAAUGUGAAGCUUCUUCAAAUCGAAGUUGCUUCGACCAGGUGUGUUAAACUUUCCAUCAGAUUGAUUGGAAAUCAACCUCCCCCAAGCAGCUGCACUGAAAUUAUGUGAUCCACAAUAAACCCAACCAAAAGAACAUGCACUUGCCCUGGACUUAAAGCGCCUCAUUGCCACCUGAAAGAAAAAAAUUCCUUGAAGAUGUGCCAAUGUCCCCAAGCACGGAUACAACAUCCACACUCUGAAAAAAUGGCAAAAUUCUCUCUCAACCAAAAUAAACCAGUGACAUGCCAUGCCGAUUCAGUUAUUCAUAUCAAAAGUAAAACGCAGUAAGGAUAAAGCUAUACAAGAUGGUCUGGCCAAAAAACUCAGGAUUGAAAAAGAAUAUCAUCAAACUGAAAAUCAAUGUCUACAGCAAUUUUUUAAAUUUCUUUAUAGCUCAAGAAAUCGAAUUUUUAGUGCAGAGUGGCUGUAUACCUUUGUCUCAGGAACACCAAUUUCUGUGUCCAAUUUAGUGCCUUUACUGCACUUCUGUCAUAAGUAUUUAUAAGACUUAAUGCUCAUUGCAAAUUAAAACAAUUUUUCUCAGGAAUAUAUUUGGGGUUUAUUGACCUCCAAAAAGUCAUGCAAAGGCCAUCCACACCAACUUGAUGGGUUAAUCUAUGCUUCUAUUGAUGUCAAAGUGACACCAAUUAUAUGCACAUUCAUAUCAACAAACAAAGAAGUUCAAUUGCAUACUUCAAAACUAGGAGACGCAUGCUUACAUCACCAACAUAAAAUGGAAAAAACUUAAGAUGGAUUGCUCAAUUCUGCCGAAUCCAUGGACCAUUCUGCUAAUAUGGCCGAAGAUGAUGAUUCACUCGCAAAUUCAGUGGGGUGAAAGAAGAAAAACCCCCUGGAAGACAAGAACUAUUCUGAAGUAGUUAUUUCAGCUAAAUUGAACUUUUCCGUAUCAAAUCUAGCAUGUGAAUAAGGAGUAGUUAAUUUCAUUUCCUGUACGUACAUUCUCUUCUGCUAAAAUUGGACAUCCAGGCCCAAUCGGUCCUCUUGGUCAUGGGUAGUCCUCCAAUCCCACCAUAAUCGGAUCAUAACCAAGGCAAAAGACACUUGAUCCAGAUCAAAUAUGUCUCCAUGGAAGAAUAAACACCUCCAUCAGGCACAUAUGUGGCAAACCGGUGGAUCGGGUUGGUUUAUAUUUCAAUUGUUUAAGAUUGGUUUAUGUUGGGUUGUUCCAGAUUCAACUACUUUUGGGUCCAGUCAUUUCAGGUUCUGUCAUCUCGAAGUCUGACGUGGGUUCCUGUGAAUCAAUUCUUGACCUUCUCAGGUUCCACUUUCUAAAAGUGAAUUGGGUCUGGUUUAUGUAAUGCAUUCAUCAUAUGUUUACUUAAGUUCCAAAUCACUGGCAUUUGGUUUUUCUAUGAUUUUGGGUUCAUCAGAGUUAGAAUUAAAUAUCAUGACAAGUCGGUCUACAUCAAGUUCAGGUUGUCUCAGGUUUGGUAUACUUCAAGUUUAGGCUACUUUGGAUUUGGUUCAUUUUGAAUUCAGCAUGGAUGGAUUUUUUUUUUUUUUUUGGUAAGAGUAAGCAAUAUAUUAAUAGGGGUCAAACUGAACAAACAACAUGGCUCCAAAAACUUACACUCAAAAUGAACACGCUCAUUAAGAGUGGAAGGAAGCCGCGGAAAAGCAACAAAACGACGUAUGAUGGAUUAUCAAUCACUCAACGUAUGAAUUCUCUUGAAUGCAGUUGUUUCCAAUUCAUAUUCAAUCAGGUUUAAGUCAUUGACUUUUUCAGUCAGCUUGGGGUUGGGUUGAGUCAGUUUCAUGAUGGGAAGGCCAGGUUUGUUGAGUUCCAGUUCCCACCUCUACUGGUGGGAGCACGCACACACAAUAAAAAAGGAUGCCAUCCAUUUGAUGCAUUGAUGUUAUUCAAAUCGGUUUCUAAAAUACAGGGAAUAAAAUCGAACCACAAGAAGGAAAGAGCACUUUAAAGAGAAAAGUGUAUUUGUCAUAGUGUACAUUCUAUAAAAAAAAAUAGUAUAACUUGGUCAUGCUAAAGGCUUCACUAUUAAGUGAAUAAAACCAUGUUUGUGCAUUCUAUGUUUUCACGUGCUUUUGUCCAUCAAGGUUUCACUGAAUUAUAAGUUCACAUAACGUGUCCUCAAUAGGAUAUAACUUCACAAUAGUCAAAACAGAUGAGCACUAGAUCACUUACUCUCAGAUUUUUCAGGUUUUAUGAGGGACUAAUAGAUGACAUUUUGAAACACAUUUUAUCUCCAUGAGUUGCACAAUAACAUGAUGAUGAAAUUCUCUCUCUCCACAUAGUCGUGAGCACGAGGGGACAAGUAUCCUAACAGCUUAAUUUUUUGUAAAAGAACAUUUGUCUAAAAAUUUCAAUUUUCUUUUUAGGAUUUGCUAGUGUGUCAUGUGUAAUGAAUGUAUGCUAUGGUCAUCCACCUUAGCCCAAGCACAAUGCUCUCAGAGCAGAAUCCCACUUUAUUAAAAAAAAUUCUGCUAACGAGUGGCCCAAGUGAAAUUAUUAAGCACUAAAUAAUAAAAUUUUAUAAAUUUCAUUUUAACUGCACUAAAUAAAUAUUUCAUGGGCACUUGUUAACAAUACCAUAAUUGAAAUACUCCAAAAACAAGCUAAAUGUGCUAGUAGCUAUUUAUGGUUGAGGACCUCAUUUUGUUUGCUAAGUCAAGAUUUUGAGUUCAUGGGUUUUGCAACCUUGACCAAUAUUCCAACACCCAAAAACUCUGCUGAAUGCAAUGCUAUUAAAUUGAUUACAGUGAAUCUGUAUGAUGUUUGAGAUGUCAAAUUUCACUCUUGAAUAAUAGAUCAUUAAAAUGUAUUCCCAUGCACUAGCAUAACUUUACCAUACCUAAAAUUAAGAGAAAAAACAUAAUAACGUUCUGUUUUAAUUAGCAGAUGAUACAAUCCUAUACACAUUCUGCAAAAGGGUAUGAUUAAUUCAUGAGUGCAUGCUAAUUGAUGGCAUCAGAACAACACAGUUUAUUUUCACUGGAGAAGAAGAUAAGGAAUGGACCUUUGCAUGAAUUGGGUGGCCAAUCCUAUAGGAAGGAUAAGGAAUUGCAUCAUAGAGUAUGUCUGCAGUCUUCAACUUUUGCCAUGUUUUCUGUAUGGGAAGCAAUGAAUUAUUGCACAAGGUACUCAAUAAAACCAAAGAGCCUAUCAGUGAUAAGCCCCAUUAGUUAGCACUUAACAACAGCAAAAGCACCAGAAACACAAAAAGCACAAUCCUUCCUGUACACAGACAGAUAUCCGAUCGGCCAUCUGAAUGUACGGGAAUUGGACUUCACUGGCAUGAUAAGCUCAUGCUUGGACAGCAAAUGGUUCAGCACUCUCUAUAAUUGCAAAUUUCAGUCCAGAAAAGUAAUGCUUAUACGUGCAAGAAUUAUGUCUAUUGUCUUGCCUAUAUUAUAGAACCCCUGUUUAGAUCCAAGGAAAACUAGACAGGAUAAUAGCAAAGCCAAUGAAUUUGGGAAGACCAAUAUCGCAUGCUAGAAAGAGCACAGAACAGCAGAGAAUGAUUCAAAAAAACUUAUGAGCACUCAAGAAUAUAGAGCAGUGAGUAAUGCAAUAAUAAGAACAUGGUGUGACCCACUCAGAUGAGAUGAGAUGAAAUAAAGUAAAAAAAAAAAAAAAUUGUUUAGAAACAUGAAACAAUAAGCUCAAAUGCUACUUCAAAGGUUUAGCUGUAUGAUCCUGUGUAGAUCAAAGGAGAACAAAGGGUAAGAAGACAAGAACAGAUAUAUGAUGAAAGAUUCAAUGUUUCGACCUUCCUGUAGAUGGUAUCGAAAGUGGUCCACAAAAUAACGAGAUGCAUGGAGCCAGACCCACUACAUGGAAAGAGGCUUUGCUGUUGAGGAUGAUUUUUUCAUUUAGCACACGAGAUAGCAUCAAUUACGAUCCUUGGGCUCUGGUAUUUCUUUUCUCCAACUUCUACCUUGACAUUGCUCAUAUAGUAAUAAUCUUGUCGAUCCACAAUUUUUUUAAAGUUUCACAUAAUCCAUUCAUUAUCUCAGAAAUCAGGUACAGUGAACUUAGUAAGCUCUUUCAUCAUAUCAAAUAAAUACUUCACAUAUAUUCCUGGAGUUGAUUCACUAAUUACUUGCAAUCACCAGUGGAAUGAAUGAACUAGCAACAUAAAACCUACCUAAAGGAUAAAUCUCAUUAUCACAAGCUAAUGGAAGCAAUCAAGAAUCAACUGCCACUGGGAAGAAAAAAAAAUUUGUGCUCUUUAGUUAGUUUUUGCCCUAAGAUUUGUAUUAUUGAAUGCUUAGGUUACACUCCCUCUAUUUACGUUUCUCCUUUCUAAACAUAUUUAGGGGUACUAUACAAGACCUUCUGACAAAGGAUGCCAAAGUAUGGGAAAGCUUUUAGCCCACCCAGUGAUCAAAUGGGCAGAAUACCUCUGAGAAGCAAAGAAUCUGCUUUGAAGCUGAAAUUCCAUUAAUAGCUGUCUUCGCCCUCUCAAUAGUGGGAAAAAUAAUUCUAAUGGAUGGAUUCUUCAAUUCUUGACUAGCAGUCCAAAAUCCCCACUGUUUCAAGAGAAUUGAGCACAUCGCAGUUAUGAACAACUAUCAAUUGAACCAUGAGUUUUCACCAAAUAAUAAGGGCAUAACUGCCUACCUCUGGAUCUGACUCCUCAGAAUCAGAUGAUUGCAAAGAUCUCUUUCCAGCAGCAGCCGAAAAAGCAGCCAAGAAUUGCGCAUUGAUUGAUGUACCGAUGGAGGAUGAACCUAAAGAAGAGAAAAUUUAUCGCAGUUGGUAGUAUUAACGAGAACAACCAUUCGAGUAUAUAAUUCCAAAUAAAAGUAACGAAAAAUGAACUCACCAUAAACAAAGUCACUUUCUAGUGAUUCAGGCCACCUGUAUUGACCUAAGACCUUGUAAAAAGCAAAAGAUAAUCAUAAGACAUUUCAGACACAACAUUCACAGACAAAAAUGCUCUCCUGAAGGAGCAGUGUCAUAAUAGCAUAACCUGUUCAAAUGACCACCAUUACUUUUACCUCCUUAACCAAUUCUAACAUGUGUAAUAUUCAUAAAUAUUCCCAUCUUUUACGCCAGCCUCGUUAAACACAAAACUUCCCCAAAAGAACAACAAUCAUAUACCUGGCAAUCCCGUAAUUCGAAGUACACCCUCACUAGAAGCUUCAAGUAACUAUCUCAGAAAUUGCCUUAAAAAAACUACUGCAAUGUACACACAUGGAACACAAAUAUGCCACAUGAUGGUGGUGCAAACAACUCAAACUUAGUAAAACAAAUUGCAAUACGAACAUUUAGGUCUUAAAAGUGUAAUUCAAAAUGAUAGUGACAAUAUACUUCCAGAAUUGGUACCAAAAACUUCACAUUCUCAAGCCUUGGGGGCAAAAUGACAAGGUUCGUAGGACCAUACUUUGUUCAUCAUUACCAAAAGUCUUAUGGCUAAAAUUAAAUGAUGAAAUGCCAACUUUGCAAAAUUGCAUUUGUCACAAAGAAAAUCUCAUAAGAGAAUAAAAGACUAAAGAAUGUAUACCUAGCAAGCCUAAAUGUCUAUGAGAGACUUCAAUUGUCUGAAAUGAAUUUCAAGAUUCACAGAUUUCCGUAUCAAGAUCACAAUAGAACAAUCAUCUAGUUUGUUAAGAAUCCAGAAAUUUAAAGAAGAGACAAAUAACUCAGAUGUGGUUUGAGCAAAAUAUCCUAACGUACCAAUAAACCUCAGUGACAUUUCCUCCACGAGGUAGAAGCAAAAUGUAGAAUCCACUAACAUGAAAAGCUCCAAUUGUCUAUGUCACAACAUUUAAGUAUUAAACAAUUCUUUCAACUAAAGCUGUUCAAACAGCUAACAGUAGUCCCACAAAGGUCACAUGGUAUCCAAGAAGGGGUAUCUAAAUUGAAAACUAUAUAACCCCCUCUUUGCCUCUCGAAAGAUAUAUUUCCAUGCUUUGGUCUUAGGCCAAAUCUCAGCCUAUACGUAAAGGAGUGUUAUGACAAUUAAAAAUCAAAACAUGCGUUCACUUAAUAGCUUGAGCAUUUAGAAGAUUAGCAAUGGUCCAACAAAAUUCGAUCUUGAAUGUGUACAUAGAUGCAUGCUGGUGUGUCUGUGUGUGGGUAGAUGGAUAAGCCUGCAAGUAAAUUCAAUAGCUUCAUCUGAGAGGGCACAAAGGGGUUGCACCACAUUUAUGUAAAGACCGCAAGUGGCAUUUUUACACAAGGCUGAAGAAGCAGGAAACAAUAAAAAAUCAAGCUAGACCACCAAAGCACACGCAUAACACCCCCCCCCCCCCCCCCCCCCCCCCCCCGGCCAAAAAAAAAUGUGCAACACUCAUAUAUACUGAAAUUUUUUUGAUGAAACAACCCAAGAAUGGUAUUUGUUAAAGGACUUAUGUUCCUAUAACUCCAAACUAAGAAUUUAGAUCAAAGUCAUAGGUCACAUAUCAAUUGUGAAUGAUUGCUAUGGAAGUGAGGUGUCACCCAAGUCAUGUAGGCUCGCUGAUAUGAAUUUUUUAUCAGACCGCACAUACACUAAUUAUAGUCACUUAUUGCUCAAAUCUUUAGCUAUAUAGCUCUUUUUUGGUAAACUUUCCUAAGUAUAAUCCGAUCUAAUUACUCUAGUCCAAUAAAGGGGAAAAUUACACCAAGGAUUUAAAACCUCCAAUAUGAAUACCAUCAUCCUGAACAUAAACAUUUAUUCAAAUUCUCUGUAAAAAUUUUCUUCUAUGCACUAAUUAGUUUGUGAUGUAAAAGAUUCUCCAGCAUUAAUUUAAGACGGAGUUUUAGCUUUGAAGCUAAGCUCACCAUUUGGCCAAACUCUAUAAAGAACAAAGCUUUAGACUAUAUUGUUGAGAAAUCACUUGAGGAGAAGUUCGAGUGCAAUCUGAGCAAGAAAGAAAAAAAGACAGGUAAAUUAAAAGUGCCUCUUCUGCUGCUGACCCAUUUUGGCACUUGUGCAAAAAGUUCCUUUGGUAGGACCGGAACCCUUUCUCAUUCCUCAAGUGCCUAUUCAAUCAAACUUCCAUUUCUUUUUUUUUCUUUUUUUAGGGCGGGGGGGUGGAAUAGGUGGAAAGAUCAACUGCAGGGCACUAGGGGGCGCAGACCCAUAGACAAAAAAGAGCUCAUAAAACCAAAAGGGAGAUCCAUCACAUGACAAAGCAUCUACCAUAUCAACCAAAGGAUUUACAUCCGUAUGCAACUUUUCACUACACCAAAAGCACAAAACUUUAAGCCAAUACAACAAAACAAAAAUGAAAGAUUCCUGUCCAUCCGAAGCUCUCUUGUUUCACUCCUUCCAAAUCAACCAAAAACAGAGAGGAGUUGAGACAAACUUCAAUGUCUUGUUGCUGGAUGCCCCCAAGCCCAUAGUUCUUGCUCAAGAGGACCUUUAAUAACCCAAGAUAACCCAGUGCAAGCAUAAGUUGUUGUCCAAUCAUUCUCAUCCAAAACAAUGAAGGAUGAUGAAAGACACACAGUCUUUACCUCCAUUUUGCAGAGAAAACACGUAUUAACCAGUACCUUGCCAUUUGUUGUAGGUUAUCUAAAGUCCAGUCUACCACCAAACCUCCCUAGCUCACUACUUAUAGUAAGACAUAUAAAAAUUUAAGGGCUAAAUUCUUAGUACUAGCUUCAAGAAAGCUCCGUUUCUUUCAAAUUUAGAAUAGAAAGAUCUUUCCAGCUGAAAAGCCUCCUCUAAAAUUUCUAAAGAAACAGGCUCCCAGCUACACUUGUUGAAAUUAGGACUCAAAUAGAGACCUAAGUAGGUGAUCAGGAACGAACCUAACCAACACCCCAUAACUGACAAUAAUCGAGUAUUAUUCACUACUUCACCCAGUAGAAUAAGCUUGUUAUUACUCAGAUUAAUUUUAAGCCCAAAACUGCCUCAAAACAAAAGUAUACUCCUCAAAUAGAGUAACGAAAAGACGGCACCAUCUGCAAAAGGAAAUGUGAUACAGCCAUUGCCAUGUCUCCAUUGGCCACUUUAAAGCCAGUAAACCAUCCCAAGUCUGACCUUUGACCAUUUUGCUAAGACCCUCCAUCAUCAGGAUAGACAAGGGGAAUAAAGGGUCACCUUAUCUAAGGCUGAGAGAAGAUUGAAAGAAACUGGAUGAACAGCCAUUGACUAUAAUAGCAAAUGUAGGGGCUGAGACACACUGUUUCAUCCAAAUUGCACCACCUCUCUCCAAAGCCCAUCAUCUUUAAAACACACAAAAGACAAUCACACAAAGCACAGUCAAAAGCCUUCCUGGUAUCGAGCUUGCAAACAACUUUCUUCUUGACAUUAAAUUGGGAAUCCACUGACUUAUUUGUGAACAUAGCUGCAACUAGAAUUUGUCUUGUAUCAACAAAAGAACUCCAAUAAGGUCCCACCACUUUGCUGAUAAUGCGUUUUAAUCUUGUUGCAAGCACCUUAAUAAGAAUUUUAUACACACUGCGCUCACUGAAUUAAUGGGGAGAAAAUCACACUAUUCCUUCAGGUCUCUCCCGGAAUGUCUAAAGUAGUCAGCGAUGGAUUCUACCCAAGAAGCUAGUUAUAAGGUAAUCAAUAUGUUAAAGGAGCAACUAUGUUCCUUUUUCUCCUCUAUUUGCGAAGCUGACAUGUUUAUCCCAAUUGUAAGUUGAGAACAUGAAAGCACUUGUUAUCAGGUGCACCAAAAGUAAAAUCUGUAAGGUGUUGCAGAUGCCCAAAUAGGGUGUUAAAUAAGCCACUAACCAGAUCAAAGUUUCAAAACUCAAUGCUAACUAUGAAACAUCUAUAUGCCGUGCAUCUCAUGGUGCCAAUAUCUCUAUUUUUUCAAAAAAUCAAACGAAAUACAAAGGGCUAUUUACAUAGAUGAAACUUUUUUUUUUGGUAAAAGGUAAUAGAUAUAAUGAGGAAAGCCAAAAGUACAAAAGAUCACGGCACCAAAAACUUGCACAAUGGGAUGAAACUUUCAGUGGGCUAAUUAUAAUAAAGGUCAUUAAUUUCUAACAAAUUACAAGGAGGUGGACAAUGGGAUGCCUAGGUAAAUUUAAUGUCUGCAUGCUCCAAAAAUAAUUCAGGCUGGAUCACCUUUCUUUACUUCAAGAGGGAUGAUAAGAAGGGGGGUGGAGGUUUUGUUGAAAUUAAACACUGAAGUUUCCAUGAGUAAAUGUGAUAAAGGAAGCGAUUCUCAUCAGACCAUAGAGCACAUAAACAUGCAUGUAUAAUACCUCUAAAAUAAUAAAUAUGCAUGUAACUUCAGAGGUACCAGAACAAGCAGCUUGAAAAUAAAAAUAGGUCUCCAGCAUCUUACCUCACGCAGUCUAUAAAGUCCUCUACACCUUUCAAUAGAAGCAAUGAAAUAGCACAAGGCAUUUACAUGAUGAUGCUGCAUCAACUUUGGCAUGUCGGAAAAAGAAGGCCCCUGGAAAGAUCAAUAAUAGGAUUUUAGAUGAACCACUUAUAAUAUGUACUAGGCAAGAAGUUGAUAGCUACAAAUAUUGAUGAUUAGUUUAUUUCAGGAAGUAGACAGCAACAUGCCUGAAAUACAUGUAGUAUCAAUGAUACUUUCUUGUUAUUUCCUCCAAGAGCAGCAGCAAGCACUUCCUUUGGAUAAACAUAGCCAGAAAAACCGAAAAAACCAUCGUCCCACAAGGGGGAUACCCACUUUGCAAAAUUUCUAGGUAGAAAUCCUACUCGGAUGCAAUCUAUUGAAGAAAUGCCAAAAAAAGGUACUUGAGUAGCUCAAAAGUAACUGUGAAAUCAUAAAAGGAAAAGACAGAAUAUACAGGAGAAAACUUAGAAUUCAUACACUUAGAGCCAUCUUCUGAUUGGAGAAUGCUGAUAUCAGUUCAUCUUAAAAUCUAAAACAGAAAUUUGUCUUAAGCUAGGAAACCAAGCGAGUGACAUAUAGACGGCAAAAGUUUGUAAGUGUUGCCUGGGAAAGCAAGAGAGAUUGAAUUGACGAUCUUUCUGCAGAACUCUAAACAUUUCUACACCAUUGUCAAUUGGUAGUUGGAAAGAAAAAAAUGAAUAAGAGCAAAUACAAUAGUAUUGGCAGUUAGAAAACUAUACAUAAAGACAAAGCAUAUCUACAAAGGCCAAAAUCUUAUUUUUAGUGUUCCAAAUGGUGCUAUACAGACAGUGAAUCGCCUAAUGAGUUAGUUAGCAACCUAGCUAAGCAUUCAUCAAAGUAGUUCUCUGGGAGUCUGGGUUACACCUAAGCCUUAAUUAAAGAAGCAAGCAAUCAAAUUGUACAAUGGUGGAAUAUGCUAUUCUCCAAAAAACUUGAACUAAUACAUAAAAGAUUGGUUUGCUCAAAGAUAUCAUGCAGAUCCAUCCUCAAAAACCUUGAUUUUCUUGAAUCGUAUUGUCACAAUUCAACUUUCCCCAUUCCAUGAAGGCAUUAAAGUUACUCCACAAGACCAGAAGAAGCAUAAGGGAUCCAAUAUGAACAAUACAUCUAGAUUGCAAGAGUGAUGUCAGAGAUUUCCUGCCAGGUCUAUUGAUGAAAGGAAAGUCAUGUGGAAGAUUUCCAAAGGCAUGCUUGGCCACCCAUGCACAAAUUAGUAGGAAGCUGAUGCUACUCUCCUAAUGAUGACCAUGUAAAGGUGAAAACAAUUGUUUUGUUAAAUCAAGACACAUGCAUUACUCAGGACACAAGAUGCCCAAGUAAAAGAGAGACAUUGUACAGUGGGUCACAAUGAGGCAUUCUACAAUAGAAGCCACAAGAAUGAACCCUAGAAGGGAGGGCUGACCUAGUGAAUCAGCUUGCCAGGCGCCAACUAAAGGCAAUCCGCCAGUGCCAUGACAACUGCUAUCAGAGCAAGAUUUCCAAAUUUUAUGUGCAGAUGCCAUCUGUCACCAUGAUUUGAGCAUGACCUGUGGAAGAGACGGAACACCUAUUGGAAGGGUGUAAGCCAUUCAUGUAAAACCAAGGCAGACUCAGUGAUGAUGUGGUAUGCGAGGAAGCGACACCGAGUGACACAUUCUGUUGGGUGAGCUUUGGGCAUUCAAGUCAGUGAUGGUUAGGGAAGUGCAAGGAAGCCAAAGAAUAGGCCACAGUGAGGGUCUUAUGGAAAUCAAAUCAGGGAAAAUGUCAUAGUCCAAUUUUACCCUGUUUUAAAUGGAAGUGAGCUCCGUAAUACCAGAAGAAACAUGAGGGAUAUGUAAUGAACAAUACCGCUUGGUCAUGGUAUUGGUGCUAACAAGUUUGAGCUAGAAAUCAACUGAAGGAAGGAAUUUCGUAUGGAAGAUGUCCAACAGAAGGGUGGUCCUUUGUAUACAAACUGGUAGAAAGCUGGUUUCACUCUCUUGAUGAUGGCCAUAGAAAACCGAAACCACCAGUAAUUGUAUUGAAUCGAGAUGCACGCUCAACUUGGGACACAAUAUGCCCCAAUAAAAGGGAGAUGUUGUACAGUUAUUCACAACGAGCCAUUCCACAAUAGAAGCCAUGGGAAUGAUCCUUAGAAGGGAGAGUUGGCCUGGUAAAUCAGCUCGCCAGGUGCCGCACGACAGUCCGAUGACCGAGGCCAACUGGCCCGCAUUGUGACACAUAAACUAUUGUAGCCAAGAGCACAUAACCAAGCUCCAAAAAAAAUUUCUCUAUCACAUUAAUUUGAUAGCCACUUUCCUACAUGAAGUUGUCAACUAUAUCCAAUUAAUAAGAUGGUAUUCGAAGCCCUCCCAUGAAUGCCCAGAAAGCAUUUUCUUCUUUAUUUAAAGUCCACGUAAACAUUUUCACUGGACAGCUUCCAUAGAAGAAGAGGAAUGUAUCAUUUAAAUUAAAUAGAGUCCCCGCAAAGGUCCAAGACAGAUAAGAAAACACUUGACAAAAUAUCCUGCAUUCAAUUCCAGUGACAAAAUUAUGAGGUAUUUCCAAAAGGUAAGAGAUCAUUGUGCUUGUAUUGUUUCAGCUCUACAAGAGCGAGCCAGUAAAACAAAGUAUGAAGUUAUAAUGCACACCAACGAAAGAAGCCUGUACCAGAGUAAAAAACAUUAUCUUCCUGCCUGACAAAUGCCACUGAAUCUGUCAUUUUAUUGGUUGUAUUUGCUUCCAUCUCAAAAUUCUCUUUCAUUAUUGUAUGUAAAAAAGCUCUCACGCAUAUGCAUAAGAAUAUGAUAAGUUGAUUCCAAGAAAAGAAGUAUUCUACCAUUUAAGACAAGAUGAGGGUUCAAUCCACUAAUCACUGACUUUGAAAACAAGAUGUGAAAUACAUAAGUAAUUAAUGAAUUGUAUACUGAAAUUGGUGGAAUUACUUGAAUAACUAAUUCAAAUUAUUUCAAUUAUUGAUUUCAAUUUUACAAGUAGACCAAUUUACUUUUUUUUGAAAAAUUUAUUAUCGAUCAAUACUUUAAAAUGAUCAUGUAAGUAAAUUAUGUCAACCAUUUGGUAGACGUUCAUAAGGCCAAUCGAGUUUGAUUUCAAGGGCUUGCCAAAUCGGCCCACUAACCAACUCCACAUAUAAUUGUUGACCAGCAGGAAUAAAACAGAAACAUUGCUUAUUUAUGAAAACAAGAACUGGAUUUUACCUCCCUUGAAGAAGUUAUUGGGAUUUCGAACAAGAAUGCUGACUGCAUUGUAAUCGGCAGGUAUAUUUGUUUCUCUUCUUAGAGUUGUUUCCAGCAUCCCAGAUGCAUUAAUAUGAGAAUCUGAGAGGAAAGAAGCUAAUUUCCGUAGAGUUGCACCAUCUGAGUCUGCUACCGCAUGCAAUAGGUGACUUACGCCAGCAAUGGAUGCCUUAACCAUGGCAAUGUGCUUUGGAAACGCUAAACAUGACGUGCUGUGAUUGUCCUGUGAAGAAUGAAAUCAUGGAGUCAUGUCCUAAGAAAUCUAUAAAAGAUUAAAAAGCAAAACUUAAGGUUAAAAGGAAUUGAUAGUAUAGUAUUAUGUUUAUCCAUUAUCACAUCAUUAACUAAGUCGUCUACCUUAUGCUGAAGAUCAUGAACAAUCUGCCUGCAACAUUUCCUAACACUAUGACUAUAAUAUAGAAUAAAUUUUGGAAGUCCUAAAAACCACUUAUUACUCCUACUAUAACUUCCCUCCAAAAUUGCAAUGAAAAAGUAAAAAAUAUUUUAAAUUUAAUGAAAUUAAGAAGAAAUUGUAUAUGAUUCUACAUGUCAAUAUUGGAAUAUUUUGAAAGGUUUCAGGUGUUUCAAGUUAAAUAAAGACAGUGUGAGAGUUGCUAGAUUUACAGAAAGUCAAAACUUAAGUAGAAGUAACCCGAAAUGGCCCUUCCUGCAAGCACCUAAAAGCAUCUCUCUAUGAAUUACAAAUGAUCUUUAAAAAAAAAAAAACAAAAACAAAAAAAGAGAAUAAAAUCUUUGUCUGUAGUAAACCUAUUUGAAGAUCCCAUAGCAAAAAAAUAAAUAAAUAAAUAAACAUCUGUAAAUAAUCUUGUUAGAAACCAAUUUCCCUCAUAGGAAGUCUGGAGACAUCAAACAAAAAGAUAGCAGCAGUCCAAGAUGAAAGCUUUCUUGAGCGAUGCAUUCCUGAGAUGGACGAAGCUUAAAAACUGAGAAAGACCAAAAAUAAACAUUUAAAUCACCAAAAACCUCUCUUUGAUGACCUACCCAAAUACUACCCUCCAGUUACACUUCAUCAAUGUCACAAUUCCAGCAAAACUAUAAAUAUGUGAGAAUAUGUCACAAGCUUAAAGCAUAAGACCAAUGAGGCAUAAAUGUACUCUUUAAGUGGAGCAACUUUUUGGCAAGACUCUCUAGCAUCUUUGACAAACUUCACAAGCCCUCUUUUAGUCCCAGAGAGAUAUUGUGAUCAAGGAAUCUUGAGGAAUUUUUCUUCAGUGAUCCAUUUUAUGCUGAAAAGAAAGAUCAAGCUUCCAAAAAAGGUAUAUCUUUUUUCAUCUCAUGACAAUUGACUGGAGCUAGUCUCUGGCUACACGUACCCGGGAUUGCUAUAUUCCCUUCCAAUCUGUGAUCCAGAUUCAUCAAUCUGGUUUUGGUAAAUUUGUGUCCCAGACCAUUUCCCUAGCCCAUCAACCCCUUCACAUUCUCACGCAAUUCAAAGAUACCAGCUAACUCUUAUUUGCUAGCUCUUCAAAGGACCAGAAUAUUAUACAUUUUGUAUCUAAUUUAGGCUUAUGGAUUCGGGGAAAAAAAUCUCAGACAGAACAAGUCUAUUUAAUCAUUUAAUCAAUUGGAGCUUGUAUUGUAGUUAAUCUGUAAUUUCAAAAUAAUUCAUUGCGAAAGAACAACUAGAUUACCAAAAUAAAAGUGAAUGACCUCAAAAAGAGAAUGUUUCCAAGCCUAUCACAAUUCAACCAACUAAUCCAACCCCUUCUGUUACUUUUUUCUCCACGUCUUUUCUUGUACCUGCACUAUCCCUAUUAUAGUUGCUAUUUCAUAGAUGGUGAGACAAACGACAGUCAGACUCAAUCAGAUAUGAUUCCUCCGCUCCAACUGAGCUAUGGCAAUAACUCCUACUACAAUUUUUGAUGACGUAUCCCUUCCCAAGUGACAGAACUACGCAACAAAAUAGAACACUUACAGACAAAAAAUCAGUCAGAUCCAAAGUGUCUUGUGGCAUACAAGAAUGGAUUCCAGGCACUGACGCGAUUAGAUAUCCCAUAGCCUUGUUAAAGUCAUAUUUUGCCAACUCAACAACCCAAUGAGCCUGAGAAGGUGCAUCAAUCACAAGAGAUGCCAUAAACCCUGCUAGUUGAACAGCAAAAUCAGAUUUUACACCUUGUGUUAUUUCAUCAUCAGAAAUUUGGGUGAACAAAGAUGAGAAAUCAGGAGCACUUCUACGAGGAAAAUCUUGCCACCACACAGUAUUGGUAAUGCCAGUCCACUGCAGAAGUCAAAAUCAUAUGAAUAAUGCAACAUCAAAAGUUUGUUCUACAACAGCACAAACUAAUAACAAGAGUGGCCAAAAAGAGGUAAUCAAUAAUGAACAACGCAAGAAGAACGUGAAAGAUAAGAUAUGCCUAACAGCUUCCCAAAAACCAUUAUUAUUAAAUAACUUUUGGCAUCUCUCGUUCCACAUUAUUAUAGCCAAAUUGAUCCAGCCUAUGUAAGGUCAUCUCUGAAGUCCAAUAAUCAACACUUGCCUAUCCCAAAAAGUCUCACAGGCACUUUCAGAGGAGAAUCAGCUCCCACUUAUUUCUCAUAUCAUCUUUUACCAUGCUACUUACAAAAGUGCCAUGCCAAGUAUUCUACAGGCUUUAUUACCAGAAGUUGACAAAAGAAGAAAGUCUAUUAAAUGCCAUAAAAGCGUUGCAGAUCAACGAAAAACUUAAGCAGACUUCUUUUAUGAGCUUUUGUCCUGAUAACCAGGCAGCGUAAGAGGAGAAAAAGCUGCGAGAUUUAUAAAGCAAUUAUGUAAGAAGAAAUGUUCCCACUCGCCGUAAAAAGUAGUGCAAGGAUUGUGGACACAGGCCAGUCUUGUCAAUACUCAAAGAUUAGAAGGAUAAAAGAAUAUUUUCUGUUUGCAGAUCUAACCUAUGCUCGAAUAAAUUAUAGUUUACUUGACAUCCACUUAAAUCAAUGGUACCAGCCACUUCUCCGGCAAAUAUUUAACUUGAUUUAGUCUUCUGGAUCAUAAACAGUAACUUAAAAUGCAUUUUGAAUUUGCACAGAUUUUUCAUUACAAAUAUUUACAACAUAAGGGUUGAUGGAUCAACUGGACCAACCACUUCAAUAGUGCAUGGAAAUAUUUUUAUCAAUAAAGGGGAGAACGUUCACUGGGUAAAUUUGUAAAUGGCCAAAUAUUAGUUACUGUAUGGAUUAUCUAGCCAAAACUUCUAUACUCAGGGUUACAUAGAGAUGAAGCUCCACAAAUGGGGUGACGGUCUGUUGACAAUAAAGAACCAAUGCACAUCUCAUGCUUUAAACACAGAUACCACAAACAGUGCAAUCUCAGGGGAAAAGGGGGAAUGUUAUAGGAAGAACUCUAAUUCAAAUGUGCAGUUCCAUGACUAAACCUCCAACUUCAUGACUAAGUAAUAAUGCCAUCAAAUAGAUUAUCUUAGAAUAGUUCUCCCAUCAGGGCAUAAAUACAUUCAGAAGGAAAGCACUCUAUUGCUUGCCAGAAAAAAGCCAUAAGCACAACUUGAUCUUACUGCAUUGUUCCCACCACGAAAUAACUUGCAUAUGAGUUAGCUGUACCCUAGAAACCACUGGAUGUAAGGAAAUGAUAGCCUCAUAAAAAUUUUCCAAACAAAAGAAAGUGAGAACAACUACCACAUAACUCUAAAAGUGGUAAAACAAUUCAUUUGAGAAUUUUAAAGGAAAAAAGAGCCUAUGACAAAUGUUAAGUCACAAUAUGUUAAACCCAGGAAUCACCUGUUUGGCAACCAAAUUGGCAGAAGUAAUGAUGAUACGAAUCCGAUCCUCUCUUUGAAAAACAAGAAGUUUUGGAUGAUGACAUGCGAUUCCCUGCUUCUUUCGAUCUCCACCAAAAGCGAUGAUCUCAGGGAAAGGGGGAUAUCUGAAAAAGUAAUUGUCCAAGAAUGCUAAAUUGUGUAAAACUGUUUAGGCACAUCACUCAAGUUAACUGAGAAAUGAUAAACAACUUACACCACAACAAGCUUUGGGAAUUCUGGAUAAGGUACAAGGGUUCUUUGCUCAGGGCUUGAGCUCCAACAUCUAUCAGUGUUGUGACAAGCAAUGGUCACUGGCAAGUGGUCAGGAAUUCGACAGUAGGAUAGAAACCUGCCAUUAUGUCUCAGCAGAGAUACAAGCAUCCGUUCAGGAACAAGAACCAAAAACAAGUAAAUGUAGACUGAUUUUCUAAAUGCAAACAUGAAAGCAAGAAGGAAAUAUGUAUGAACUAUCCACGUAGUUAUUAAAUUAACGAGAAAAGCCAGAGCUAUAAUAUUGUCCCUGCAGAAUAAUAUAAGAAAAGGAAUGGCUGAAGGCAUUCACUGCAAAAUCCAUAGCAAAUGUGGACGACAAGAGAUGAUUAACAUAUCGGCCAAGAGAGCAUGGAACCAAAAGGUACAGAUCAGUGCAAAGAAAAAGAAGUACGAACCACGCAAUGUCACAAGUGAAUGUUGCAAUGAAUAUCUGCGCAAUGCUUUCGACAGGAUAGAUAAGUUCUGCCAAGGAAAUUUCAGAACUACAACCAAAAGAAUCUUGUCCAAUAGAUUCAAGACGAUUGAGGCAGAAAUUCAUCCCUGGAGGUGGACAGAAGCUGCGCCUAUUUUCAUCAUUUGCGGUGGAAUUGAAACAAGGGCCAGUUUCUGGAGGCACCCGGUUUAGAUUAGAGGUGAUUCGAUCGGCAUUCUCAAGAUAUUUGUUGCCUCUUUGAGAUAAGUUUCCAGCAUGGGCAGAAACACAUGCUCCUUUCCCAUCAAUCUCUGAGCUCACAACCUUUUCAGCUGGAUGCACAUGAGUGAGUGGAUGAGGAAGUCUGCACCUCAUGCUUGGCAAAUUACAGAUGGUGUCGGAAUUGUUAAUGGGCAAAACAUUUGGCAACUCUGGUUCGCCACCAGGAUCGGUGGCAGGCUCCUUGGAAAAAAGAUCGAGCCUGGAUCCAGAUGAAUUAUUACAAUUCAAUGAAGCGGGCACGGCUGUUGCCAGAAAAAUAGGGCAUCUCCGGAUGCAAGAAACAGGGUCGGCAGAGUCCAAAAUGUGCCUGCACCGAGCCAAAAGCGAUUUUGCUCGGCGAUAAACAGCCGAGGAAGAAGAUGGACAUGGAGACGAAGCAGUAGACCGGGAGGCCGAUACCCUUUUGCUGCUGCUCGACGUCAUCGUGGUCGUGGUGGUCGUCCAAGGCAAAGAAAACCUCUCCUUGACUGCACGAGGAUCAUCCGAACCAGGAGAAACCACUUCCUCCUCAUCCAGGACAACAAUUCUCCUAAUAGCAAAUCCAAUUCGAAUGCCGGACCUACAUUUACCAUCGCCGCCGCACACGAGCAGGACUUCAUCCCCUGCAAACAACGCGACGGCGCUGCCCUGCCGACACUCGACUCCAUUGGUAAACACUCGACUCAAAGCAGCGCGAGGAGCAGCCUCGCGCUCCUCCCCGACUCUCUCCCUAGAAACAAACGAGUCGUUCGGCCGAGACCCGGCAUGGAAAACGAAGACCUUGCGCUGGCCACCGUCGAACAGGAUGCGGCAAUGGAGGUUGCUGACUCGGGGGUCGGGCAGGAGGAAGUCGCACCGGCCGGCGCCGCGGCCGAUCGCGUAGAGGCGGCCGGCCUCGAGCCGGAUGGACUCGCAUGGGCGCCCGGUGGCCUUGGAAACCAAGGGGAUCCCGACAUGCCGCACCUCAAGCAGCGCCGCCGCAGCCGCCGCCGCCUUUGCUACGCACUGCUGCUUCUUUCUCUUCUUGUCGUGGCCUUGCGCGACGGGGUGGUGGGCGGGUCGCCUUCGUUUGAGAGUAGUGUCGGAGGCGACGGUUGACAUGGGUAAGGGAAUGGAGGGAAGCGCACGUCAUGUCAUGUCAUGGCACCGAUCGAAUCAGAGACGAAGAAUUCGACGGAAGAAAAGGGAGACGAAGAAUUCGAAGGAAAACGAAGGACGAAAGAAGGAUUCGGGGGUUGCAAGAAUGGCGGGCGACGAGGGGGGAUAAAAGUGGGGGAGAGAGGGAAGGUUUCGAAGGCGGCCAAUGCAAUCCCCACCGUCCGUCCGUUUGCGCCCCUCCCCCGAUUGCUUUCCCUCCAAAAAAAAAAAAAAAAAUGAACCCCACUCUCUCUCUACUUUAAAAAAAAGAAAAGUUGUAAAUCUGGUUAAUAGCCCGGUACAUGUGGGCCGGGUCGGAUAUCGGGCUUACGAAUCAUUGCUCGGAGCUGUUUGAUGAAUUCAAAACUUUUGAAUGAAUAAAACCAUAGCCCAAUUUUACUCUCUCUAUUAGUUGAACCGGUGAUAAUUGAACCGGUGAAGAGGAGCAAAUCCUUCAUAUUUGAGGUCUUUCGGUUGGAAAAUGAGGAGUGUAGUAGGAUCAUUAAGGGCACUUGGAAUGAACUGGCCUAGUUGCUGAGGAUUCGGUACUGAAAUUAAAAGCUGUGUCAUUAGCUUUAGCCAAAUGGAGCAAGAUAACUUUUCUAAACGACCAGAAGGGGAUUAAUGACCUGAGAGAUGAGUUGCAAGGAGAAAGUAAUUUCUAGAGCUUACCUGCACACAAGAAUAAACAGCAGGAACUUACGGAACAAAUAGAGAAUCUGUUCAGAACAGAUGUACGGAGGCUUGAGAUCGAGAAUAGAGUGGCUGAAGUAGGGUGAUAAAAACACAAAAUAUUUCCAUGCCACAGCCAUUCAAAGAAGAUAGCAAAAUAGAAUUUCCAUGUUAAAAAAUUUGAGUGAUACUUGGAACCGAGACCCGGCAAGACUGAAGGUUGUGACAAUGAUUCGUAAGCUCUUCUAGUAAGCCAAUAUGUCUUUAAUGAACACCAUAAUAAAUCUAUUUAUACACUCUUUGAAUACUCUGUUAAUCAAAUACAUGAAAGCAGAAGGCACAUCUAUUAAUCCAAGAGGCAUGAUGAGAAAUUUCUAAUGGUCAUAUCUUGCUUUGAAAAUAAUUCUAGGCUUAUCAUCUCUUUUUCUUUUUCAAGUUCAGAAAGUGUUAUUCAAUGCGGUACCUUAAAAAAAUGAUGCAUCAAGUAUCUAAUUGAAAGAAUGCGUAAGGAAGCAAGGAGCGUAGGGGAAGAGUGGAAAUUUGGAGAGAAGUCUUUUCUAUUACUUCAAUUGUAAACAAUGUACAACGCUUUGUAAUUAUAAUACAAGAUGUACAUGAAAAAAAGGAAAUAAAAAGUUCUACAAAUAUUCUACAAAUCAAUUCAAUAUUUCUGUCCAAUCUCUAAUUGAUCAAAUCAGAUCAAUUAGAUCAAAUCCGGCGGAUCUUCAGGCAUAUCUUCCAACACUGAUCAAUACCAAAACCAAUUUCUCUAUAAGAAGACAAGCCCAAUAUAAUCUCAAGAAACACAUCUGAUAACAACAAUACUUUCCAACUUCACAACAUUAUAUUUUAUAUCUUUUAAGUCUGCUGAAAAUCAUAACAAUAUCACGAUGUGAGGAUAACCAAACAACCCAUAAAAUAACAUCAAGAAUAUAUAUAUUUAACUCCACUAGAUUUCCAUGCGACUCUUUAUCAUUCAUCUGAAAAACACACACUUCUUGAACACGCGAUUCGCAACUAAGAAAUCAUUACUUUAUAAUCCUCAGUUAAAUCAAUUUGGGGCUCAUCUCUUGCUUCAUGCGAGUCACCACGAUGACUCUUUUAUCUCUUUCUCGAAAUCUCCCCUCGAGAACCUAAAGAUACAUUCUUCAUAUCAAAAGUUAAAACUCGUCUGCCCUUGAUACACUUUACAAAGCCAAGUAAGCUUCUCCAACUCAAGAUCAAUAACCAUAGGGACUGAAAAUAAAUCAUCCAUUCCAGUACUUAACAAAAGAUUGACGCAUUCUAACAUACAACCUCACAGCAUCUUUAUAAAAUCUACCCAACAAAAGAUCAUAAUCUAAGUUCCGAUACUACAAAAUGUCACGCCCAAAACCAUCACGAAUAGGAGAUGAGACGGCCGUCCUUCCACCCAAAGGGCGCGGCCUCAAAGCUCCCAAAAACAAUUCCUAAAGUCCCCUCGUUGAUAUCGCUGUCAUAGUACUUAUUAUUAGAUGAGAAACCUGGAAAAGAAAAAAAAAAAAAAGGGUGAGCAACCAUGGUUCAGUGAGUAAUACAUCUCUUCUAAGCGGAUCGAGCACCCAUUAUGCAUACCUGCAACCAAAAACCACAACUCUUUUAAUCCAAAAUUCAAAAUAUAACAAACAUAUAAUAAGAAAAUAAGUUACGUAUGCUUCAACAUAGUUGUAUUUAUAGUAGAAAUAUUCAUUUUAUAAUAAUAUCAAAAUAAAUAUCAAUAAUCAAAUCCAUUCAUCAAUUUCACCAAUUCACACAUCAAUGGUCUAUUCCAUUGAUUAAUCUCAUGCCAUACAUCAAUAGUCUAUUACAUUGAUCUAUCUCAUAUGAAACCACAUGUCAAUAAUUCAUUCCAACGAUUAAUCUCAAAUCACAUGUCGAUAGUCCAUUUAAUCGACUAAACUCAAAUCACAUAUCAAUAGUCCAUUUCCUUGAUCAAUUCGUUACUCAAUAUCAAACCAUAAUCAUGAUACAACGACUAGUGACAAUGCGACCAAAAUUUCCCCUUGGUAAGAUCUCCACCUAUUAUUAGCCGGUGGCUCGGCCUACAGGAACACCCUAAGUUAGUAUGCAUACCCACAAGCCCCUCACUAGGCUCAUAGCAAUAUUAAACAUAACACCCUCCACAAUCCACAAAGCAAAUCCAGAAUUCAUUUCAUAUAUCACAAAAAGCUUUUGCAAUUCAAUUCAUCUACCAGAAAUAGACUCGUCUCAUUAACUAAUUUUACAAACCAAAUUGAAUCAAAUGUAUGUCAUAAAGCAUUUCACAAAUCGAUAUAUCUAUAACAUUCCAUAAACCAUCUCAAAAUCAAGAGCUUUUUGUAAAAAUGUUUCGCGAUGUCAAAAUAUAUUUUUCAACUUCAUUUCUCAAACAGAAUAUAUUUUUCCACCAACCAGUUCUUACACAAUUCACAAAUAUUAAAAUAUAGUAAGUGCCCGAUUUAUAUUUUAUGCAACAAACAUGCUACCAAACAAGCACUUGAGGAAUUCAAGUAAGGACACCUCCAUCAUAAGAGCAAGAAAUGGCAAAUAUGGACAAUCCCGCACAAUCCUCUUAGGAAUCAUAUACUUAGACAUCCUAUGCCUGAUAGGAAGGUCCUCUAUCUCUUGGAAUGGACUUCAGCACAGUCUCUUAUUAUCCCCAAACAGCAAACUGGCCCUAGCCAGUCGUGCUCACCAACACUACAGGAUCCUCCAAAAUUCAUGAAGAAGAACAUGCCUCAAGCAAUCAAAGUAUGUGGGAUGCCCUAAUCUCUCAAAGGGAAUCCUCUCAUAAUACCAACGGUCCUCCUGAUGACAUUGGAAUGGAACAACGCUACGAGAAAAAAAGGCUUGCAUGACAUAGCUUCGAUGAUUCAAAUUAUCACUAUAACUCUCGAGAUGGCAGAUAAGACUUGUAGUGAAAGUUACUGUAGCACAGGUCAUUAUAACAAAAUAAUGUAGCAAUAUGUUAGGGAAAUCACUAUUCAUAGUCAUCGUUCAUAUUACUUAUAAUAAUUCCCGACUAGGAAUCCCGAAGCCUCUGUGUGUUUUAAGACCCAUGAGUUUGGUCUUUGUUUUUUGUGACCUCUUAAUACCUAUAAAAGAUAAAGAGGAUGUAAUGUUUUGGGCAAAGUCCUUGAAGUAAAGUGUGUGCUUAUGCAAAUUCUCUCAGUGUCUCUCUAAACACUUCUUCUUCUCCAGCUUAGUACGAUCCUCUGAGAAAUGCAGCUCGGCUAAGUUAGAGAUGUUACUUUCCUAGCAUCUUUGAGCAUCUCUUAUCCAAAUUUCCAAAUAGUUCAUAGCUAAAAGGCAGUCCCUAAAAGGCUUGAACAGAAGUUCACCUAUUAUGGGAUAACAUACCUGUUACAACUAACUUGGUCUUCCCUAAUUCUAAGCAUAGAUCCCUUUUAUCAUUUUGAAAACAUGGGUUUAAAAAUUCUUAGAAGAGAUAGCACCACUCACCUUGGAACGCCUACGAUCAAAUAACAAAUGUUACUCAAAUCGUUGAAUUCGCAAUCCUAUCAGAUAAGCGACAAACAAUAUUAAAAUUGAGUAACGCAUUACCUCAACUACAAAAUAGCUAUACUACUAAUCACAUACCCAAAGCGAUUAUUCGAGCCAUUUGCAAACUUUAUCACACCAUAACUUUCUCCACCAAACUCCGUUCCAAACAUAUUUAUAGUCAAUAAAAAGCGCUUUCGACAUACUACAAGAAUCCCAACUUGGUUACCACAAAACUCUCCAGAAAUGGCUGAAAUUUAGCCUUGAAUAUUUGUUUGGAACUUGACAGCACGUGCGACAAAUUUCGAAAUUUCAUUUUAGGUAAAUCGUAAGUUCAAAUCGAGAUCCCCGUAAAAUUUUACAAUUUCACAACACUCUAAACUAUCGUUUCUAUAUAAAUACGUAGUUCAACGACUUAAAAAUCAGACUUCAUCACACAAAUCUUCAAUAAUUUCAAAUUUCAAGUCCUGAAUCCAAAACUACUCCGAUUGAACGAAUGAGGGCACAAGCACUUACCAAGCAUCGGGAUACAAUGUUGAGUCAGCUUGGCAAAUUGUCCGGAUCAUUAGGGCGCGAAUUUGCCCCUUCUCCCGCUUUCUUCUUUCUCCUUUCCUUUGACUCCUUUUUCUUUAUCUCCCUCUCUUCUUUUUCCUUUUUUUCUCUGCCGGACCGUCCUUUUUUUUUUCUUUUUUUCUUUUUGGUAAGGAAAAGGAGAUGAAACCUUUCUUUUUCUUUUGUCUCCCCCUUUUUCUUCAAAAGUUCUCCCAAGAGUGGGAGGGAGAUAGCGUAGAGGCGAAGCAGUCUGAGUGAUUGCAUCUCCCACCCAAACGUUCACAUCUCAAUCAAUCUAAUCGAAAGCCAGGGUGAAGGAAGAAGAAGAAGAAGCAGAGGAAGAAGAAGCGGAAGAGGCAGAUAUGGGAUUGCUGUCCAACAAGAUCAAGAGGGACCGACUCAAGCGUGGGGAUCACAUCUACACUUGGCGUCACUUGUACCUCUACGCUCACCACGGCACGUUCCCUUUUUCUCGCUUAUUCCAAUGCAAUCUUUUUCGCGACGAUGAUGAUGGUGGUGGUGGUUUCGCCUCAACUCCUCUGCUUUUUUUUUUUUUCGCUAUAAAAUUGCUCCAUUCUUCACAUGAUUGAUAAUGUCCUUUCCUAGUUUCAUAUAUAGGAGCUUUGCCCUCGUGGGUCUGUGAGAGAGGUCGUUUUCCUUCUCUCGGGGGAUUUUCUAUCCUGUUUUUUCCACUUCUGCUAAUAUAGAUUGUGGCAACGUUGCUGAUUUUUGUAUAAAAGGAGAUGUUUUAUGAUGAGUAGUCGUACUCAACGUGGCAGAGAGAUCGAAUCCCCUUGACCCUUUUGGAAGUCUGCCACCCCUUUGUCCGCCUUUGCUUAGCUUGUGCUCCCUUUGCUAUUUCUGAAUUGUUGGUUACUCCUGUCAACUGAAGGAGGUCGAAUUCUUUCCAUCCUUUGAUCGUCCGGAUUAUGUUCUUUUCAAGCACGUACCUUCUAUGGACUUAGCUGCUUUCGCAUACUGAAAAGAUUGUCGCUUUUGAGUUCGCAAACAGGAAUAUACGUCGGUAAAGGGAAGGUUAUUCACUUCACUCGAGGGGCAGGACACGAAAUCGGCAGGGGUACUGUGUUAGACCCCAUCAUUUCGAGCUCAUGUCCCCCUCCUCCUGUCGGUACACAAUGCCAGAUAUGUGGAGAUCAGUCGAGACUUGAUGGUGUCAUCUCUUCCUGCAUCGACUGCUUCCUUUCAGGUGGAAACCUCUACCUCUUUGAGUACGGCGUGUCCCGUGCUUUCCAUCUUGCUAGCCCUCGAGGGACUUGCACCCUUGCGGAAUCCGACCCCCCUGAAGAUGUGCUUCACCGUGCCUUUUACCUCCUCCAGAAUGGCUUUGGAGGCUACAAUCUUUUCAAGAACAACUGUGAGGACUUUGCUAUCUACUGUAAAACGGGUCUGCUUGUGGUGACAGUAUGUAUCGGAGGCCGAAGUGGGCAAGCAGCAGCUUUUCAGGCUGCUAAAAGUGC
Molecule: long non-coding RNA, 26722 nt
Filed under: Eucalyptus grandis
Lineage: Eukaryota; Viridiplantae; Streptophyta; Magnoliopsida; Myrtales; Myrtaceae
Description: long non-coding RNA (EGRA_LNC003947)
Source: RNAcentral